RNAcentral lists this long non-coding RNA (401 nucleotides) under Penaeus japonicus. Its description in RNAcentral is "uncharacterized LOC122265858". The record is from RNAcentral. Lineage: Eukaryota; Metazoa; Arthropoda; Malacostraca; Decapoda; Penaeidae.
AUAAGCUAAACGUCUUGUUGCAGUAGCUACAUAGUCUCUACUUCCUUGGCUGCGUGUACAGCAACAAGAUAUCUGCAAUAUGAAACUGCUUUCAAUGGUUCUGGCCUUAGUGGUGGCCCUGUCAUGCUUAGUGAACUGGAGCAGCGCCAUGCCUGAGCCUAACCCAGUGGCUGACCCUGACCCCGUUGCUGACCCUGGCUACCGCCACUUCGGUGGAUACGGAUAUGGGGGUCGCGGAUACGGGGGUUAUGGAUACGGUGGAUAUCGCGGUCGCUUUUACGGAUAAAGAUAUUCCUAACACGGGACUCCUAUCUAACGCUCUACGAAAAACGUUAAGAAUGAAACUAUGAAACGAAUAAAAAUUCCUCUCCAGCAUUUCUGAAAUAAAUACUUUAACUGAA